AAGUAGGAGAAUCCCUUGGUUACACAACCAUUGAAACAAAUUCUUUAGUUUCAUUGUGGAGUAUAUGGAAUUUUCUUGGCCGUUUUGGAGCUGGGUUUGUGUCAGAUAUUUUCUUGCACAGAGGUGGCUGGGCAAGGCCUUUAUUCAUGGUUAUCACUUUAUCAACUUUGGCCAUCGGCCAUAUGGUUAUUGCCUCAGGUUUUACUAAAUGUUUGUACCUGGGUUCAUUCCUUGUGGGGGUUUCUUAUGGUUCACAAUGGUCAUUGAUGCCUACAAUCUGUUCUGAAAUAUUUGGUGUGGGACACAUGGGUACUAUAUUCAACACCAUUGCCAUAGCAAGUCCUCUUGGAUCAUAUAUUUUCUCUGUAAGAGUAAUUGGGUACAUUUAUGAUAAGGCAGCAACAGGUGAAGAUAACACAUGCUUUGGAACUCACUGCUUCUUGCUUUCUUUUCUGAUCAUGGCAUUUGUUGCUUCCUUCGGGGUUCUUGUUGCUCUUGCAUUGUUCUUUAGGACAAGGAGGUUCUAUCAGGUGGUUGUGCUUAGACGGGUACAACAUUCUUAGAGAACAUGAUGCGGGAGAGUUUGUAUUAAUUCAGGGAGAAUGUGCUCCGCUUUUAUUGGCUGGCUGGUUUGUAUUUCACUAUUAUUUAUUAUUUUCUUAUAAUAUUAUGUGCUAUUAGAUCAAUAAAAAAA
This 694-nucleotide unclassified non-coding RNA is filed under the name Hevea brasiliensis (rubber tree). The record is from RNAcentral. Lineage: Eukaryota; Viridiplantae; Streptophyta; Magnoliopsida; Malpighiales; Euphorbiaceae.